GAAGGCCCCACUGUCUUAAGAGAAUUCCCAGUGAAAUUGAAUUCGUAGUGAAGAUGCUACGUCCAAUUUGUCAGACGAAAAGACCCCAUUGAGCUUUACUGGAGACUUACAUUGCUCGGAUCGACUCUCGCCCCCCCUUGGCGGGGGGGGUGGUCGAAUUUAAAUGGAUAGCUUAGAUUAUGUGGUGCCAUAACCGUCGAUCAAGUAGUCCCCCUACGGGAUUGCCCCCCCGAAGGUUGACCUAUUUGGGUGAAUGAAACCCCACUCCUUUUUGUUAAAUGAGCUAACCCUUUCUCCCUUAAAGGGGGACAAUGUAAGUUGGACAGUUUGGUUGGGGCGACCGCCUUUUAAAGAGUAACGAAGGUGUGCUUAAGGUACACAAUCAAUAACACAAGCCUGACUGCGAGGGGGACCCCCCGAGCAGACACCUAAAAUCUUCUCCCUUCCCCCCCGAAGGUUAAAGACGAACGGUGGGCUAUAGUGACCCGUUAAUUUAGAGUGGAAUAGUUAACGAUCAACGAAUAAAAGUUACCAUGGGGA
Molecule: ribosomal RNA, 540 nt
Filed under: Epizoanthus lindahli
Lineage: Eukaryota; Metazoa; Cnidaria; Anthozoa; Zoantharia; Epizoanthidae
Description: Epizoanthus lindhali partial 16S ribosomal RNA
Rfam family: Bacterial large subunit ribosomal RNA
Source: RNAcentral